CAGUCGCCACGGGAAUACGGAGGGCGCGAGCGUUACCCGGAUUUACUGGGCGUAAAGGGCGUGUAGGCGGCCUGGGGCGUCCCAUGUGAAAGGCCACGGCUCAACCGUGGAGGAGCGUGGGAUACGCUCAGGCUAGAGGGUGGGAGAGGGUGGUGGAAUUCCCGGAGUAGCGGUGAAAUGCGCAGAUACCGGGAGGAACGCCGAUGGCGAAGGCAGCCACCUGGUCCACUUCUGACGCUGAGGCGCGAAAGCGUGGGGAGCAAACCGGAUUAGAUACCCCAGUAGUCCCUGUCUCUUAUAA
RNAcentral lists this ribosomal RNA (301 nucleotides) under uncultured bacterium. Its description in RNAcentral is "partial 16S ribosomal RNA". It matches the Rfam family "Bacterial small subunit ribosomal RNA", at positions 509 to 809 of the family's 1533-position model. The record is from RNAcentral.